GGGUCAGUAGGUUGGUCGUGCCACCGGUACGUACUGGUCUCACUGAUUCCUCCUUCCUGAAGAACCGUAAUGCCAUUAAUUUGGUUUUGCGGGGAAACAGGACUGUUACUUUGAAAAAUUAGAGUGUUUAAAGCAAGCUAACGCUUGAAUACAUUAGCAUGGAAUAAUGAAAUAGGACGAUCGAUCCUAUUUUGUUGGUUUCUAGGAUUGACGUA
RNAcentral lists this ribosomal RNA (215 nucleotides) under Glomeromycotina sp. RNAcentral's name for it is "partial small subunit ribosomal RNA". The stretch from base 40 to 215 matches the Rfam family "Eukaryotic small subunit ribosomal RNA", at positions 686 to 864 of the family's 1831-position model. The record is from RNAcentral. Lineage: Eukaryota; Fungi; Glomeromycota.